This 655-nucleotide ribosomal RNA is filed under the name uncultured Lachnospiraceae bacterium. RNAcentral's name for it is "bacterial SSU rRNA". It matches the Rfam family "Bacterial small subunit ribosomal RNA", at positions 71 to 741 of the family's 1533-position model. The record is from RNAcentral. Lineage: Bacteria; Bacillati; Bacillota; Clostridia; Lachnospirales; Lachnospiraceae.
AGAGAGAGCUUGCUUUCUCGAGCGAGUGGCGAACGGGUGAGUAACGCGUGAGGAACCUGCCUCAAAGAGGGGGACAACAGUUGGAAACGACUGCUAAUACCGCAUAAGCCCACAGGUCGGCAUCGACCAGGGGGAAAAGGAGCAAUCCGCUUUGAGAUGGCCUCGCGUCCGAUUAGCUAGUUGGUGAGGUAAUGGCCCACCAAGGCAACGAUCGGUAGCCGGACUGAGAGGUUGAACGGCCACAUUGGGACUGAGACACGGCCCAGACUCCUACGGGAGGCAGCAGUGGGGAAUAUUGCACAAUGGGGGAAACCCUGAUGCAGCGACGCCGCGUGGAGGAAGAAGGUCUUCGGAUUGUAAACUCCUGUUGUUGAGGAAGAUAAUGACGGUACUCAACAAGGAAGUGACGGCUAACUACGUGCCAGCAGCCGCGGUAAAACGUAGGUCACAAGCGUUGUCCGGAAUUACUGGGUGUAAAGGGAGCGCAGGCGGGAAGACAAGUUGGAAGUGAAAUCUAUGGGCUCAACCCAUAAACUGCUUUCAAAACUGUUUUUCUUGAGUAGUGCAGAGGUAGGCGGAAUUCCCGGUGUAGCGGUGGAAUGCGUAGAUAUCGGGAGGAACACCAGUGGCGAAGGCGGCCUACUGGGCACCAACU